This is a long non-coding RNA of Solanum verrucosum, 823 nucleotides long. RefSeq lists it as uncharacterized. NCBI's taxonomy places the organism in Eukaryota, Viridiplantae, Streptophyta, Magnoliopsida, Solanales, Solanaceae. The record is from RefSeq and is a predicted model, not a curated record. The transcript has 2 exons.
GCAACAACAGCUAUAGCAAUAACAUUGGAUAUCUUGUACAUGGUGAAAGAGUAAACGACAAAACAACAACAGCUAUAGCAAUAACAUGGAUGGAUACUUUUUUUUUAUAACAAAGGAAACCCGCAGCCGCCACCCUUUGGGUGCGCACAAGCUAACAUGGAUGGAUAUCUUGUAUUCAAUGAAAAGUUAACCGCAGCAAACAACAGCAAGAAGUAUGUCAUAAUACCAGGCAAGUUGGAUUGUGAAGAGUUGACAAGUUGCUCGAAAGACCACAGGAUGUGACAAUGUCAGUUAUAAGGGUGACAAAUAUGUCAGGACACCAUUGAUGGUGGGAUAGCAGGUGUCCGUGGAAUAGUUGAGGUGUGCACACGCUAUAGCAUGAACGCCAUCGUUGGGAAAAAUGUCAGGACACCAAUUCUCUUGCUUUCAAGGCAGACAAUUUUGGCUUCUUGAUAGACAAUAACCUUGGUGAUAUAGUGAAGAGUAGAUGGAUGGCAGCUUAGUUAACGUUAUUGGUACGUUUUGGUGAACUUUGAGGUGUAAGAUAAAAUCUCUACAUCACCUUCUUAUGCUUCACAAGUCUUUCAUUUCUAGCAGUUGUGCUUAGUAGUAGCUUGUGAAGAAUGUAAAACUUCUAGGUCGGGUUCCAGAUAAGUCUGUUUUUAGCAAAUCCUAGUACAAGACAGUAGCAUUAUGAGAAUCUGAUGAUUCUCUUUUACAUCAAGUACUUUGGUAUAUGUACUAUAUGUUCUUUAGGGUCUUUACAUAUGCACUAACGGUAGUUCAUGAAGCUUGAAACUGUUGUUGUACUAUAUUAACACUA